Grammomys surdaster is the source of this 2432-nucleotide long non-coding RNA. RefSeq lists it as uncharacterized. The transcript has 2 exons. Lineage: Eukaryota; Metazoa; Chordata; Mammalia; Rodentia; Muridae. The record is from RefSeq and is a predicted model, not a curated record.
AAAAAGUCAGGACAGGAGGAGAAUGAACUCAAGCAGGUCUCUGGCUCCUGGCAGACACCUGUCUUACAGGCACUGACAGAUCAUCGAACAGUGCGAACGCAGGGAGUAGCUCCCCAGCAUUAGACCAAAAUCCUUGGCAUGCAUGACGGCGGCGUCCAUUCUUCCUGGAGGAUUGGCUCUAUCUGUAAACACAGUGAAUUGGCAUUUAACCGAAAGGCUUCUGUGAAACUAUCCCGCUAAGCUAAGGCAGUGACAACUCCCAUAUUGUCUCAGGAAAAAAUCUGUUCCAGCUAAGCUCGGUGACACACACUUGUGAUGCACAGACGGGUGGGUCACUGAGUCCAGGGCUAUGUAAACCCUGACACACUUCCCUCCCCCCAAAAAAAAAUAUUAACUUUGUAAGCUGCUCCAUGGCUGGCUAAUUUAGCCUUGUGUAUAAUCUUAGCAAGCAGCAGUACAAGGAUUUAUGCAGCGUAAUCCACGAGUUCUGAUGACUGCCAAUUUCACUGAAUGUCCUUGCUGAAUGAAGAGCUUUCUACACAACUUGAUGGCCCGGGAAUUUUACAGACCCACUCAAAACCUGAACCAUGUGGCGGCUUCCUGAAGCAUCCCCCACCCCUUAUUCUCAGUGCACAAGUCCUCCCAGCCACGCAAAGCUCAUCCCCGUGGCUCGGCCAUGCUGGUCUGUCACGGGUACCCAGAUAGCUGCGCGGCUCUGCUCCCUUUGCUCAGCUGUUUGAUCUAGCUGAAGAUCCGGCCCAGCAUCCUCUACCCUAGAAAAGCCCAGAGUGCUUUGCGCCUCAGGAUGGAACCAAGUGUGGAGAGAUCAGAUGUUGACAACCACCCUGUACUUUUGUGGGCGCCCUUCUCAGGAACCACCCCGGAAGGCUUGCAAAUCUCCUGGUCUUCGGGAACCAUUUCUCCUUAGCGAGAACAAGAUCACAAGAGACAUCACACAUCACCCCUUAAAAGAGUUACCGUCUACCGCCGGCAGUUAUUGGUGUGAGAAUUCAUUUCCAACCCCAAUGCGUUGGCUGACACUUAGCAGGGCUCUUGAGGCAGGUACAACCCUGGCUGACACUUAGACUUAGCAGGGCUCUUGAGACAUGUACAACCCCUUCAGAGUAACCAGAGUACCUAGGACCACUUGCCUGACUCUAGCUGUGCAAUCCAGAAGAGCCAGGGGGACUCCCAACUCCUCCCAUGUUGGCUCCAAUGUCACUGCUGGUGAGGGAGACUCUCGGUCCCACCCACCCUAGAGGCUAGGUUCCUGCUGACCAUAAGACCAGAUGAAGGUCAUUGGUGUUUCCCUAUCCAAAGCCCCUUGUUUUUGCUACUGUGGAGGUGUGAUUGAGAGUCCAGUGUGCAUGGAGAUACGUAUACAUGUGUAUAUGCCUUGUGUAUGCAUUAUACAUACAUAUAAGUGAAUCCUACUCGAUCAGACCUGGUGUGUGCUGUUCCUUACCACAUACUGUGUCCUCCAGCUUUUCAGGGAAGUCACCCCGGACCUAUCUACAGAGGGGCCAUCUGGCAAAGGGUGACCACCUCAGUUCCCUUUUGCAGUAGAUACCACAGACCCUCCUUUGGUCCCUGUCUUAGACACAGCCUCUGCCACCCUGGCCUUUGGCCUUGCUGCAUGAGAAGACAGCUGCUUCCCUCUCUACCCUGUAAUUAUUCUUUUACAAUUGAGUGCCUUAAUAAUCGUUUACAAAUACUGUGUAUUUAUGCGCAACCAUUCAACUCUCAUCUUUCAUGGCCGGUCCUGCUGGUUAAGAUAAGACGUGAGUGAUUUCCUCCCUACCCCCAUCCGCUUGUGUUAAUCUGCUAUGCAGUUGACACUGUGGGCCCCGACUAUUCCUCAGAGCCUGCUAGAAACUCCGCUGCCGAGUCCCCACAGGCCAUGCCUGCAUCAGCACACACUGCAGCCUGAGGUAGCCGGUGAUGAAGGAUGGAAUUUGGUUUGCCAGGCAGCCAAGGGGUGGUGCAGGCCCAGCUCUCCCUGAACCACAGCCCAAGACCUUCCCCUGAACCCCUCAAGGCCGCCCGCCCUCUGGUUUAUAGAGGCUUGCCACCACCUAGCCCCUCUUCACACUCCCUCCUCCUCCUCUGCCUGUGUCCUGAGCUCCCUUAUGAGUUAAGGGUACAGCAUACCUCAGAGGAGCCUCGCCAGACCUCGUCCUUCACCUUUCAAAGGCCGCCGGCGCUGGGUUCCCUCGUCGGAUUACAACUUUGACCUGUUGGUUUUUUUUUUUUUUUGGUAUUGUUUUUCUUCCUUUUUUAAAAAAAUAUAUAUUUAAAAGGCAGUAUCUUUUGUACUGUGAAUUUUCAGUAGAAGAGGCAUAGUGCACUUUUGUUUUUUACUUCUGUUGGUGUGUACUGUAUAUAUAGUCUGCGUGCUUCUCGUGAUGAGAAUAAACACUUUCUUUAUAAUG